CCCCCCCCCAAAAUAUAUAUGUAUUUGACAUUGUUUGGGAAAAUCCAGUAUUCCUAGAGGAUUUUUUUCUCCCUAUCCCUAUUUUUUUCUCAUUGCUUUCUUCCUGAUAAAAAUUACCCCUUUGUUUAAAAAAAAAAAAAAAAAAAAAGCAAUUUAGGGCCAGAUAACAGACUGCAACAAAAUUAUUAGAACAGCCUUGGCUAAAACUCAUGUCUGCAGAAAAAGGUGCAUAGGGCACUAACAGAUUAAUCCUUUCAACCUGACUGUGUAGUGUCAACUUGUAACUUGCUAUGCAUAAACUUGGAAGAAAACAGAUUAAAAGGGAUACAGUAUUCUCUGAUAAGCCAAUUACGUUCAUUAAGGAGAGAAAGCUUUACCCUAAGAAUGCUCUAAUAUUUAUUCCUCUUAUUCUCUCAUUUCUUUUUGGAUUGUAAAAUAAGAAUCUGGAUUAUUCACACGCAAAUGUUGAAUGCCAUCUCUGGGAGACCAAGUUCACCCAAAAUCUCUUUGAAAGGUGCCUGAGUACAAGAAGCCAAUCAGAAUUUUGAAGACUUUUUGGACCCUGAAUCUCCAGAGAAGCACAUAAUCCAGCACCUUUGCAAAGAGAUUGAGGGAGAGGAAAUAUCCCAACUUUGGAUUCAGGUUCCCCAUCAGCAAAUUCUUCAAUCAAGCAGCUCAAGCUAUCUGUAUGUAUAGAUUGAGUAUAAUCAUCCCAGCGGUCAUUAAAGAAUUAUUUUCUAUCAGCAGAGCUUGCUAGCUGUUAGUCACCUGAAACAUUGCAAUUAACCCACUGACUACUAUUUUGGUCAAAGCUUGAUUAACAGUGCUCUCAUAGGACAACUCUUUUCUGGGCAUACAUGUAUAAUAUAUAUAAUUUAUGUAUUAUCAAUUCUGUCAGGCUUGCGUUUUCCCAUUAUUGUUAAGAGCUUCCCAACAAGGUAGAGCAAAAAUGGAUGGCUAUAAAAUAUACAUUAUAAUUUUUUGUGAUGCAGGUAAUUCAGAUAGGCUACUAAUUGUUUAUAUUUAAAAUAUUUGCAAUAAAACCUAUUCAAAAUAAA
This is a long non-coding RNA of Alligator mississippiensis (American alligator), 1058 nucleotides long. RefSeq lists it as uncharacterized. The record is from RefSeq and is a predicted model, not a curated record. Lineage: Eukaryota; Metazoa; Chordata; Crocodylia; Alligatoridae. The transcript has 2 exons.